GUUAAAAAUAACAGUUUUUUUAGGAUAAUAUAAUGAUGUUACAAGUAUUUGGAGUUUUUUCAAUAAGUUUCAAAACCGAUAAUAGAAUACACUAAUUUUUCCAUCUUUUAGUGUUUAAAUUUUAACUCCUAUUUUCGACCUAAUGUAUACAUUAUUAAUGAACGCCAUAAGUUAGUCAAUCAUUUUCUUUUUUUUAAAGGAAAAUAGACUUUAUAAUCGCGGAGGAAAAGUUCCAGUCGAAUUAAUACGACGUAUGCUGGGGUAUGUUUUUACUCCUCAUUUGUCUCGUACAAUUUCAUGGUUAGGAAGGAAGAAGAACCAUAGGUUGGAAGGAACUCAUUUUACCCAUAUAUUAUUUGGGUGUCUCAGAAAUACUGCGACUUUUCUCGUGGGCAAAUAGAGAGGGUUAAAAUGAAUAAAGUCCAUUUUGCAAUUUUCGCAAUAAAUGAAGAAAUAAUUAAAAAAGAUUUGUGAAUAAGCGUGCAUUUAGCGACAAAGAUGCCGUGAAAAAGCGAUUUAAAAAAAUUGACGAUCGUACCGUUGAAAUUACAAUAAUUGAUUGGUUCCGGCGAGCAUCGGAGAGGAUUCCAAAGGAUUGUAAUACGAAGAAGUAAUUUAAAUAUUCAUUAUUAUAAGGUUAUAUUCAUAACGUUCUUACAGUUUUCUACAUCAUCUAUUAUUUCUAUUGUAAGAAGCUAAUAGUAUAAUAAGUUAAGUAACUUGUCAUUGUCAUAAGUAUAAUUUUAAAAAUAAAAUAUUACAUAAGUAUUCAUUAUAAAAA
This is a long non-coding RNA of Vollenhovia emeryi, 781 nucleotides long. RefSeq lists it as uncharacterized. NCBI's taxonomy places the organism in Eukaryota, Metazoa, Arthropoda, Insecta, Hymenoptera, Formicidae. The transcript is spliced from 3 exons. The record is from RefSeq and is a predicted model, not a curated record.